This 3629-nucleotide long non-coding RNA is filed under the name Mytilus galloprovincialis (Mediterranean mussel). The record is from RNAcentral. Lineage: Eukaryota; Metazoa; Mollusca; Bivalvia; Mytilida; Mytilidae.
AAGCUCUAGAUAAUAAAAAUAUCAGAUGUUAAAGUUUGGAGGUAUAAACAAGUCAUUCUAAAUCAGAAUAUUGCAAAAUUUUAAUGUUAGUGGAUUUUCUCAUUGUUGAAGCCCAUACAGUAACCUAUUUUACAUUAACAUCAUUUGGUCUCUGUAGGAUAGUUGUCUCACAUCUCUUGAUAUCACAACAAAUCAAUUUGUAGGUUCUAUAAAGUGGUCCAAUCCUAUGGUGAAGGAGGGGAAUUUUGACUGCCAACGAGGAGGAUAUUUUUGGACAGAAAUUUAGUUGCAACAAGGACAUCUGUUUUUAAAUGCUAAAGAUUUGGUUCUUUUGUCGUGCCCAGCUCUUAAUAAUCACAGUAACAUUCCAUUAAAUGGACUGGAGAAGUCUUGAUUACAAUAAUCAUAUUGCUUUUUACUUUUCAACACUAUUGGAUCUUGUGUCAUACCAUCUUUAGAUGGUGGAUGGAGUAUAUGGAGGUGUUCCUGCUACCUCUCUAUAUGUAGACAACGUCACUGUUGUUGUGAGGUUCUUAUUUCUAAGCCUUAAUGUAUGUCCGUUACAGCGCCCUUAGGGAGCAAAACGUGGCAGAUAUUACUACACCCUCAAAUUUAAAUGGACUGUAGAAGUCAAGAUUACAAUAAUGAUACUUUCAGCACCAUUGCACGGUUUGGUUGUCUUGCCCAGCUCUUAAUGGUCCAAAAUGCUGUACAAUGGGUUAUGUUUUAAAAAUUGAAGAUAAAAGAUCAAGUUUUGAAUAUCUUCUUUUUUUCUCUGAAGAUGGCAAAUCAAAUUAUUAAUUCACGAGCUCUUAAGAUAAUAAAAAUAUCAGGUGUUAAAGUUUGGAGGUAUAAACAAGUCAUUCUCAAUCAAAAUAUUGCAAAAUUGUAAUGUUAGUGGAUUUUCUCAUUGUUGAAGCCCAUACAGUAACCUAUUUUACAUUAACAUCAUUUGGUCUCUGUAGGAUAGUUGUCUCACAUCUCUUGAUAUCACAACAAAACAAUUUGUAGGUUCUCAAAGGUGGGCCAAUGAUGAAGGUAGGGGAAAUUUUGACUGCCAGCCGAGAGGAGGAUAAUGUUGGACAGAAAGUUAGCCUUGCAACAAGCCACAUCCUACUGACACCUCAAAAGAUUUGUGGCAAGGGUUCUUUAACAUGCAGAGUUGCACUGUCCCUACAGAAAGGACCUAUACUUUUUAAACUGCCAUUCCAAUUUUUGUUUUGUUUUAAAUAUGAUAACUUUAGAAGACUUAAAGGCGGGGGUCAUAAAAAUAUCAAAAUAAUCCCACCCUCAAUGUUUAUUAUCUAGAACUCUGUUUUCUAUUUUGCUUUCAUAUUAUUUUUUGGUAUUUUCUUUUUUAUAUAUUUUUUUCUUUUUUUUUUUACAGAGCUCUAGAUAAUAAAAAUAUCAGAUGUUAAAGUUUGGAGGUAUAAACAAGUCAUUCUAAAUCAGAAUAUUGCACAAUUUUAAUGUUAGUGGAUUUUCUCAUUGUUGGAGCCCAUACAGUAACCUAUUUUACAUUAACAUCAAUUGGUCUCUGUAGUAUAGUUGUCUCACAUCUCUUGAUAUCACAACAAAUCAAUUUGUAGGUUCUAUAAAGUGGUCCAAUCCUAUGGUGAAGGGAGGGGAAAUUUUGACUGCCAACCGAGGAGGAUAUUUUUGGACAGAAAUUUAGCCUAAUGCAACAAGCCACAUCCUACUGACACCUCAAAAGAGUUGUGACAAGGGUUCUUUAACGUGCAGAGUGGCACUGUCUGUCCCUACAAAUAGGACCUAUACUUUCCCGCUACCUCUAUGUGUAGACAACAUCACUGUUGUUGUGACAUUCUUAUUUCUAAGCCUUAAUUUAUGUCCGUUACAACGCCCUUAGGGAGGAAAUAGUAGCAGAUAGUACUACACCCUCAAAUGGAUUGUAGAAGUCCAGUUUACAAUAAUGGUACUUUCAGCACCAUAACCCGCUUUGGUUGUCUUGUCCAGCUCUUAAUGGUCCAAAAUGCUGUACAAUGGAUUAUGAUUUAAAAAUUGAAGAUAAAAGAUUAAGUUUUGAAUAUAUCUACUUUUUUUCUUUGAAGAUGGCAAAUCAAAUUAUUAAUUCAUUAAAAAUUCAGAAUAACUCAAAUCUUUACACCACACAAACGCGCCAACAAAGAAUGUGCAAUGAAAAGAAUUGAGUUAUUGUUUGAAACAUCAAAAAUGUUAAAGUUUCACGCAUUGUUUUUUAUUUGAACAGCAAUUUUCAGAUCUCAGGACAAGUUUUCUUUGGAACACACUCAGGACAAGUUAUCUUUGGAAGACAUUAUAAAUUUCUGUUUUGCAAAAGAUUAAAAGUUUUGGAUACUUUCUUUUUUUCUUUGAAGAUAACAAAUCUAAUUAUUAAUUCAUUAAAAAUUCAGACUAACCCAAUUGUUUACACCACACAAACUUUCCGGAGGUAACAUAUUUAUUUUUUGUCCAUUCUUUUUUCUUUCUUUUUUUCUUUUUUUUAAAAUAUACUGCAGUGCCAACAAAGAAUGUGCAAUGACAAGAAAUGAGUUAUUGUUUGAAAAUCAAAAAUGUUAAAUGUUCACAUUGUUUUUAUUUGAACAGCAAUUUUCAGAUCUCAGGACAAGUUUUCUUUGGAACACAUUAUAAAUUUUUGUUUUUCAAAUGAUUUCAACUGACAUAAACAAGACUGGAAAGGUCGAAAUUACCAAAAUGCUAAUUUCACUAUUAUUGGUUCUUUUGUCGUGCCCAGCUCUUAAUGAUGGAAAACCCUGUAUCACAGUAACAUUCCUUUAAAUGAACUGGAGAAGUCUUGAUUACAAUAAUCAUAUUGCUUUUUACUUUUCAACACUAUUGGAUCUUGUGUCAUACCAGCUUUAGAUGGUGGAUGGAGUAUAUGGAGGUGUUAAGAAUUGCACAAGAGGUGUUCCUGCUACCUCUCUAUAUGUAGACAAUGUCACUGUUGUUGUGACGUUCUCAUUUCUAAGCCUUAAUUUAUGUCCGUUACAACGCCCUUAGGGAGAAAAACUACACCCUCAAAUGGACUGUAGAAGUCCAGAUUACAAUAAUGGUACUUUCAGCACCAUUGCACGGUUUGGUUGUCUUGCCCAGCUCUUAAUGGUCCAAAAUGCUGUACAAUGGAUUAUGUUUUAAAAAUUGAAGAUAAAAGAUUAAGUUUUGAAUAUCUUCUUUUUUUCUCUGAAGAUGGCAAAUCAAAUUAUUAAUUCACGAGCUCUAGAUAAUAAAAAUAUCAGGUGUUAAAGUUUGGAGGUAUAAACAAGUCAUUCUCAAUCAAAAUAUUGCAAAAUUGUAAUGUUAGUGGAUUUUCUCAUUGUUGAAGCCCAUACAGUAACCUAUUUUACAUUAACAUCAUUUGGUCUCUGUAGGAUAGUUGUCUCACAUCUCUUGAUAUCACAACAAAACAAUUUGUAGGUUCUCAAAGGUGGGCCAAUGAUGAAGGUAGGGGAAAUUUUGACUGCCAACCGAGAGGAGGAUAAUGUUGGACAGAAAGUUAGCCUUUGCAACAAGCCACAUCCUACUGACACCUCAAAAGAUUUGUGGCAAGGGUUCUUUAACAUGCAGAGUUGCACUGUCCCUACAGAAAGGACCUAUACUUUUUAAACUGCCAUUCCAAUUUUUUUUGUUUU